This 678-nucleotide ribosomal RNA is filed under the name Triticum aestivum (bread wheat). Its description in RNAcentral is "partial small subunit ribosomal RNA". Lineage: Eukaryota; Viridiplantae; Streptophyta; Magnoliopsida; Poales; Poaceae. The record is from RNAcentral.
AUGGAGAAGAAAGGUGGGGAGAGGCAGGGGCAGGAGCAGGACGAUGAGGACCUCGCCAACCUCAUCCUCUCUUGGUCCAUCCAGGACGUCGUCAACCAGGACCUCUUCAGGGACAAGGUGAGCCGGAUACCAGACAGGUUCUUGGGCCUGAGGAGCUACCUGGAUUCAUUCAAGGCCCCGCUGCUGGAAGAAAUCCGAGCAGAGAUGAGGUCCAACCUGCUGGACGCACAGACCAACCGCCCCAAGCCCGUGCAGGAGAUACAGCCGUUGUACUUCCGCAUGCCAAUGGGCGUGCCAAGGCCCCCACUGUAUCGCGUGACCAUCCGUGGAGCUUGCCCUCCAUUCAUGAGCGACAUCGUCGUGCUCUCGGCGCUGCUUCGACCGUCCGACCUUGCCAGCAGCAAGGAUGGCGCCUCCUACUGCCUUGCACAGGUCCUCAAAGUCCACGACGAGAGCAGCAGCUUCGUGGUCAGAGCUUCCCAUAUAGUAGACGGUUACGUCAACAGCUACGCGUUCGUUGUUAGGUUGCUCAGCUUCAUACCCUACCAACGCAUCUGGCGGUGCCUCCGCUACCGAGCCAACUCUUCCGUCAAGAGAGACGACUCCGUUCUCAAGGCUAUCGCGGGGGAAGCGGAAGACUCCUCCAUGCCGCUGAUCCUAUGCUUUGAAGGUAAAUGA